GUUGCAGGACACUGUAUUAAAAAAAAAAAAAAAGGAUUCUAGGUGCCAAAAUAACUGGGAGUGCCAGCAGCUGUUCUGGGACCUCUACGUUAGCAUGCCUGCAUGUGGAGAGCCCAUUUUCCUCAUGGCUACAUCUGGAGGAGGGAGUGCUGCACAGCAUUUUCAUGGUUCCUUGGGGAAAGACAAGGAAAGGUCCCGGUAUUACUGGAAACUUCAUGCAGACAAAUCCCAAAUGUGUGCAGAGGGGGUCUCAGUCAGCUUGGGGAAAUGACCCAGCGACAGCUGUAGCAGGAUUGGGCUCCAAGUAAGGGCACAGGAGAAGUGAAAAGGGAGAAAAGGUGGUAAUCAUUACACACAUAUCAGGAGACAUUUGUAUCAACAGUCUGGAUUCUCUGCUCUCAUACCCUCAAAAUCCUACCAAAAACAUUGCAGGCAGGAGCAGAGUCAUACAGGUACAAUUUAUGGCAGAAUUUGG
RNAcentral lists this long non-coding RNA (475 nucleotides) under Numida meleagris (helmeted guineafowl). Its description in RNAcentral is "lncRNA (ENSNMEG00000014934.1)". Lineage: Eukaryota; Metazoa; Chordata; Aves; Galliformes; Numididae. The record is from RNAcentral.